UCACAGCGCAACCUGUCCUACCAUGUUGUGGAUGCCCCCUCACUGGAAGCAUUCAAGGCCAGGCUGGAUGGGGCUGUGAGCAACCUGGUCUGGUGGGAGGUGUCCCUGCCUAUAGCAGGGGGGUUGGAGCUGGAUGAUCUGAAAGGUCCCUUCCAACUCAAACCAUUUUAUGAUUCAAUGAUUCUAUGAUUCUAGGUUACGCUUACACUUACGUGAGUUUUGGGUGAGGCAGGUGUAUGGAUGGUCUCACCAGCCACCAACUGAGAAUAAUAAAAACAAAUAACUAUUCAACAUGAGUACUAAUUUAACGGCCAAAGAACUUGAAAGCUGUGGUAGCUCCUGUCAGAUGUGCUAGGAGAAAGAUCAACUGGAGUUGAUUGCUUGCUGAGAACAAGGAUGGAUUUGUUUUAUGCUGGCAUUGAAAACAGUGAAACCAAAGCAGAGCGGCGAAGUGCCCAUUCACCUUCCGAGAGCUGGGUUACUCAGCCAGAGCCUUGCAACAGCACUGCUGCCCCUUCCAUCAGGAACUCCGUGUCCGUGCAUGCAUCCAGCCAACACGCGACCAUCAGGAAGAAUGAUGUGGUGCGAAGGUGAGAUGAUCUCACCUCCAACAGGAAAACAGCUUAGGCACCCAACAUCCAAGGAGGUUUUAGCCAGGGCUGGAGCCCUCCUUGUCCCCUCUCUGAGUGGGAUGCACCAAGAAGACACUAAGCCAGAGUUUAGCAUCACCCCAAUUCAGAUCCUGCAAUCUCCUCCAUCCCUCUCCUAAAGGAGACAAGAAGAAUGAAACAGUAAAAAAAGACGGAGCAAAUUACCGACUUCUGGGGGAAGAUUGUACUGGAGAUAGAGCUGUAAUUAUAAUCCCUUUCAACAGCUGAGAAUUUUGUUGUUUCACGGCCUCGCUUCCAAAGCCUGCUGGGUUUCUCCGCUUUGGUUGUGCCGAGAAUCUCUCCCCCUACUGGUAAUUCGUUAUCGGCUUCAGAUCAACCUUGGCCUUGCCAUUGGCAGGUGUUUUGGUAAGGACAUCCCUGGGGCCAUCAGUGGAAGCAUGGCAGGCUGUGCCCCUCUUCUCCUCCCCAUCACCAUGAAUCAGGGACCAUGUUGCCUCUCAAUAACAAGUCUUGCUGAUGCAAGAGGGCUGACAGUGACCCACCUUGCAAUUAGUGGUGUGUUUUGGGAGAAAUGCUAAUAAGCACUCUGGUGAAGGAGAACCAGGGGAGAGAGGCGUGUGCUGCCUUGACUCAGCUUCUGCUGGGGUGAAGGGAGAAGAAGGGUGAUUCUCAUCAUCCACUGGAUAUGUUUGCAUGGCUUUGCUCUCCCCUCCUGGGUGAAGACCCUUUCCCUUGGCUUGGGGCAUCCUGUAAUGGUUGAGCUCGUGGAGAGCCCUGGAGUAGAAGUCACCACAAAUUUUAGAUAUGAUGCAUUGGCUCAGGCUGCCCAGGGAGAGUGGAGUUACCAUCCCUGCAGGUGUUUAAGAAACGUGUCGAUGUGACACUGAGGGACAUGUUUAGUGGGCAUGGUAGGGAUGGAUUGACGGUUGAACUAGAUAAUCUUAGUGGUCUUUUCCAACCUAUGUGAUUCUAUGAUUCUAUGUGCAUUGCCAUCCUUUCCCAUAUGCUUUUACAGUUUCUAUGCCUCUCUCCUUCCACAAGCAUCUUAUUACCAAUGCCCUUUUCCUCCCUUACUUUUCUGACGGGUACCACUUUGCAGCCUGCCAUAGCAGGCCACUAUUUCUUCAAAAGCAGGAGCUGCCACCCAAAAUAACCCCA
Numida meleagris (helmeted guineafowl) is the source of this 1769-nucleotide long non-coding RNA. Lineage: Eukaryota; Metazoa; Chordata; Aves; Galliformes; Numididae. The record is from Ensembl.